This 5593-nucleotide long non-coding RNA is filed under the name Equus caballus (horse). Its description in RNAcentral is "lncRNA (ENSECAG00000051732.1)". Lineage: Eukaryota; Metazoa; Chordata; Mammalia; Perissodactyla; Equidae. The record is from RNAcentral.
GAGAGACUGGAGGCAUCAGAGACUCUCUUUCUCCAGUACGAGCUUUGAAGAAGCGAACUUCUAUAUUCUACAGCUGCAAGGAAAUGAAUUUUGCCAGCACCCUGAGGGAGCUUAGAAACAGAUCCUUCCUGCGUCAAGCCUUUAGGUGUUCGCAUUUCACCAACCAUGCGGGGGCCAGCCAGUUGAGGGGUCAAAUGAAGAGACAUUUUUCAAGGACCCCUUCACCCAAUUUCCCCAGCUUCCUCCUGAGUUAAGGCUUCUAUUGUAGGAAUGUUCUCUCUGUGAAUGUCUCCGUUUGGUGGAUGAGUCACUGGCAAAGAAGGUAGGUGGUCUGAGUUAGUAACUGGCCAUUUUGGUAGUCUGUUCUGGUUCCUUGAGCAGGUUUCUGAUUUUUCUGUCUCUGAAAUAGAAGAGCUGAUUCUUUUCACCCACCUACAUCAUUGCAAAGUUCUCUUCGUCCUAACGCUUAACAGCCCUGUCCUUGCACCUCUUUGCUUCUUGAUCCACACUCACUCUCUUGGUGACCUCAUCCAGUCUCAUGGCCUUAAAUACUUAUAUGCUGAUGACUCCUGAAUGUGCUUGCAAUCUGGUCAGUCAUCUCUUCUGAACCUCAGACUUACUCAUCAUCUCUGUCUCAGUAUACAAUGAGCAUCUCAAACUUAAAAUGACAAAAACAAAGUUGGCCUCCUAAUUGUCCUCCUGUAAGUCAAUGGCAACUCCAUUCUUCCCCUUGCUCAGUCUCCAAACCAUGGUAUCGUCUUUGACUUCUUUCCUUCACAACCCACAUCCAGUCCAUCAGCAAAUCCUAUCAGCUUACUUCAAAAUGUAAAAUAAUUCAACCAUUUCUCAGAGGCGCCACCAGCACCGCCAUCAUCUCCCACCUGGAUAACUGCAACAACUAGUUUCUCUCUGUCUGCUUUCGCCCUCCCUCUACGCACCUCCAGCAGCCUCAGCGAUUCUAUAAAGAGCAAGUCAAAUUACGCUUAAUUCUCUGACCCGAACUUGCCAAUGGCUCCUCUUUUUACUCAGAGUAAAAGCCAAAGUCCUUAAUAUAGUUUAAAAGGCCCCACAAAAUCUGUUCAUUAUAACAAAAAUGUUCUAAUAGAGGUAGUGGUGAUGAUUGCACAACUCUGUGAAUAUAUGGAAAACUGUUUAAUGGUACAUGUAGGGUGAAUUGUACGGAAUGUGAAUUAUAUCUCAAUAAAGCUGUUAUUUAAAAAGAAUAUCAGAUCCCCACCCCAAUCUCAUCUUUUACUACUCUCUCCCACGCUCGUUCCUCUCUAGCCAUUUUGGCCUUCCUUUUGCCUCAAGACCUUGGUACAGACUGCAUGCCCCGAAUAUUCUUUCUGCUGAUAACCACAUUGCUCACUCCCUUCAAGUCCCUUCUCGAUGAGGCCAGUGAGUUGCAAUACCUCUCCUCCUGGCAUUACUGAUGCCCCAAAACUUGUUCUCUCUGUUUCAAAAAAUAAUAUCACUAAUCACUUUCUAAAUAAUAACAUCUUUUAUUUAUUUAUAUUGUCUAUUAUCUGGCUCCCACUCUCCUGCCCACUCUACUCCCCAAGUAUAAGUUCAAUGGAGUAAGAUUUGUUUUGUUCACAGGUGGAUCCCUAAGUGGUUAGUUCCUUGCCCAGAGUGGACCCUCAGUAAAUAUUUAUUAAAUCAGAUCUUAUUGAAUGAAUAAGUUGUACAGAUUUAAAGAUGUAAUUCAUGAACUAGAACAUGAAGCUGUAAAUCUUGUGGUCUCUCCUUAUAGAUUAACAAGGAAGAUGUUUGAUUGAAUCCUACUUUUGCUGGUUGUAUUUUUUUAGUUACAGAGGGUUGUGCACCCUUACCUGAGUUUUAUCUUCUUCUUCAUACUCCCUCCACCUCUGCCCCAAGAAACUUUUAAAUGUUUUUUUCAGGAGCUAUAUACUGGCUGAUUUUGUAAACUAAGGAUUUGUGACCUCGACCAGUCUGUAUUGUAUACACUUAUAAACCCCAAUAGAUUAAAAGGUGCGUAAUUGCCAAGCUUCAAGGCUGGUUCUUUCAAUAUAGCAUAAAGAGAUUAUAAUAAUGAGGAGAACAACCUUGCAAGGUUUUAUAAAGGUGAGAGUUGAGGUGGGAGAUCUAAAAGAGCAAAGAUAGGGUGUCGCUAUAGAAGCAGCAUGCAAGAAACACACAUGGAGAUGGAAUGAAAGAAACGGUAAGAUUUAGGAGAUUGCAAACAGAAGAAACAAGGGAUAAAGGAAAAUCAGAGCAUUCUUGACUAUGAUUUGAUCUCCUCCCUCUUUUUCUGGCUUUAGUGCUUGUAAGCAUUUAAUCUCUAUUCACUGGAAAUUUCUGCCGGUAGAAUUUAUGCUUUGAAAUUGCUUGUAAGAUCUGUUCUGUGAAUAAUAUGCAUUCUUAUAUUUCUCUUUGGUCCUCCUUCACUCUGGCAAUGAAUGUCAGUCUCAAGGUCUGGAAGAUAUUAAAUAUUAAAACAGGAUAAUUUACGAUUAAACCCCGUAAGCCUGUGAUCUUUUGAAGCGGGCCUAGGACGCAGCCUUUUGAAGCCCCCUUUCUGGCUGGCUGGUCUUGGGGGUUGUCUGACAGUACUCUGUCUGGCUACUGUUUGACUUUAUGUUGUAAAGGUCCAAAGUAGCCUCAUUUUUAGUAACCGAAGAAUGCAGUAAGCAGACUGUUAUCUAGCUGUCCAUUAUGAACACUUUACGCCUGUGCUUCGUGGACCAUAUCAGUUUGUGGCAAAGUGAUGGAUUGUGUUUGGCAUUCUGUUGUUGACCUCUAAGGAUCUGUGCCAUAUGUUCUAGCUCACCCCUGAAGACAUGGGAGGGGGAGGGCAUGUUGUGUCACUGGCCACUAAGCAGAAAUGUGUCAGGGAUUUUGCUUUCUCAGCUGGAACAUCACCCUCGGCAAGGCGUCCUCCCUGUUUCAGGAAAGCAUCACCAUCCAAUACAAGAAGGCAUGUUCGUAGAUUCAUUUGAUCGUUGGUAUUUUGUGUCUGUGUUUUAGGGAAGUUUUGAAAUGAUGCUGUAAAAGUAGGAUCUAUGUGGCUACUUUACUUUGCAUGCAUAGCCAGUAUGAUAAAUCUAAUCUGAUGUCCUUCCAAGAAUGUAGCUUGAAUGAUGCAUGAUCUUAGGUAGGUUGCUUACUCUCUCUUUACCUCAGUUUCCCCAUUUGUCAAAAAAUUUUUUUAAGAGAGCUCCCUUUCCCCAAAAGAAAUAGUAGGCAUAAUCCCCACAAAUAGACAGAUAAAAGCUGAAGAGUUCUGGCUGAAGCAGUAGAUGGGGGUGGGGCUGAGGGCGACGGGUCUGCAGAUUUAGCCACCCACUCCCCCCACCAACUCAACCCAUAGCCUUUGAGACCCACACUGAUCCCAGCUGGAAACUGAAAAGUUUGUUCUAUAAAACACUUCCAGCUCGAAUAUCUUUUUGCUUAAUAAUUUGUUAUUCUAAUAAUUAUUCUAUAAUUUUAAGCAGUCACCAAAAAAACUUCUAAUGUCUUACUUGACCACAAAAAAGUUAGUUUUCUGGACCUUAAAAUUUUGAUCACCAGAUGAUCUGUCUAAAGAAUUAAAAACUCAUUUAUAUUCCUCUGCUUUGAUAUCAGUUUUCAAAAAUUUCAGUCCAUUUCCAUAGGUUAGUUGAGAUUAUGUUACAACUUGCCUUAUUAACCUUAAUAGAUUGCCUAGUUACCAAAUGCUAUGGAGGAUGAUUUGGCACGGUCUUCAUAAACAGGUCGCACCUGGGAGCUAGUGGGAACGCUCCCAUCUGAGAAGACACAGCUACAACAGAUGGUAAAACGACAGAAAACCAGGUGAAAUGGUGCCCCCCUCACAACUUCUCACUCAUCUCACGUGUACCGAAUACCCUCUGUGAGUCAGAUACUCUGCUGGUCAUCCAGGACAUCAAGAUGUGAGGACAUGGCUCCUGUGCUCAUGGAACUCGUAACUACUCAUUCUAGUUUGCGUGAAAGGACAGACAAGAUUGAUCUUCCAUCAGUGGAAUAGUCCAAGUUUAAUUGGUGAACCAUACCCCAGUAAUCCCGCUCCCCACCCUCCAUAGAGACCCUUCCACGAUAGGGUGACAAUUUAUAAAUUACCCGAGUUCAUCACGCUAGAAUAAGAGAUGCCUGAUGGUCUAUGGAUGCAUUCGAGGUAGUUCCUGCUCAAGGAGCUCCCCAAAGUCCUGGCACGCUAGAUAUUGCAGGGGUCCCAGAAACCAAGAGAGACCACCUGCAUAACUAUUGGAAGUUUCUGCUGUUUCUACUGUGUUAUCUAAAGCCUUGAAAAAACAUACCCUACAGUCAAAUCCUGGUUUCUUCAGCUGCCGUCUUUAUCACGUUGCUACGUUAUAUAUCCCUUCCUGAACCUCAACAUCCUUAUCUGUAAAAUGAAGAUAAUAGUGUCUUUUAUUGGUUUGUUUAUGUAUCCAUUCAUCCAGAAAACAUUUUUUUAAAUCCCUACCUCAUCCCAGGUAUUGAGCUAGGCAACAGGCUGGCAUCUAAAGAACGCGAAGGGCUCGCUUCGUAAUUGGCAAGUGGGAAAAGCCUUUCAGGUUAGGGAAAUGGUUUGUGCAAAGGCCUUGAGUUGGUAAAGAGGAGCUGGGAAACUGAAAGUAGCUUAGUAGAUUGAAGAAUAAAAAGGAGGGCAUUAUCCUAAAAAGUGGCUAUUGGCUACCCCGAAACCCAGGAAUUCCACUCCCAGGUAUAUGUCCUAGAGAAAUUCUAGGAGACGCGUAUAAGAAUUAACUGUCAUUCAUGAUAGGACAAAACUAAAACAACGCAAACAUUGGCAGAAUCGAGAAGUCUUGGUAUACGCCCACAGUGGAACGUUACUGGUGAAAAUGAAUGAACUGUAGCUACUCACACCAACACAGAUGACUCUUUUAACCAUUACUUUGAGUGGAGAAAACAAACCAUUAGAAAACAACUUACUGUGUUUACUAUGCAUUUAAAAUCAUCUUAGCAUACCUAAAAUUUAAAAAUAUUUUUUUGUGGAUACACAUAUAUUGUAAAAGUAUUUUUAAAAAGCCAGGGAAUUGAAACUUUUGUUUCUGGCCAAGAUGUUGGAACAGACAGUAAAUUUACCCUUCUGCCUUAAACAACUAGGAAACUAGAAAAUUACAUGAAACAAGAAUUUUCAGAAAUUGGACAAUAGCAGAGCAGGACUGCCAUGCCUGAGUAGAGGGAAACAAACAAGGUGAGCUCUGUAAUUCCACCAGCUGACCCCCAAGAAGGAGUUUCCAGGCAGUAGCGCAGAAGGGGAAACCCAAACAGAGUCCAGUGGUCUUGCUGAGCGGAGGAAAUAGAGGCUGGAGGGAGGGGAGGACAAGGGGCCAUCAUUUGCUGGGCAGAGUACCACAGAGGAGGGGGCUGCACAGAAAGAUAGUUCCAGAGAUCUGCAGAGGUUUCACCUUGAUGUCUCUAUCUUUGCUUGAGUGAGACGGACUUACCAGAGGUCAGGGAAAGACCUACCAGAAAGGACUAGACAGAACAACUCCGGGACCUCACACGGGACUGGGAAAAGGUCUUGUUCCCACAUGUCGGAGCGGAAAGAUAUCAUAAUGUAUGGGACAUCAGGGAGGACUUCAGAAGUCAACACCUUAGCAGUGGGCCU